CAGCAGCCGCGGUAAUACGUAGGUCCCGAGCGUCGUCCGGAUUUAUUGGGCGUAAAGCGAGCGCAGGCGGUUAGAUAAGUCUGAAGUUAAAGGCUGUGGCUUAACCAUAGUACGCUUUGGAAACUGUUUAACUUGAGUGCAAGAGGGGAGAGUGGAAUUCCAUGUGUAGCGGUGAAAUACGUAGAUAUAUGGAGGAACACCGGUGGCGAAAGCGGCUCUCUGGCUUGUAACUGUCGCUGAGGCUCGAAAGCGUCGGGAGCAAGCAGGAUUAGAUACCCCAGUGUCCCUGUCUCUUAUACAC
RNAcentral lists this ribosomal RNA (301 nucleotides) under uncultured bacterium. RNAcentral describes it as "partial 16S ribosomal RNA". It matches the Rfam family "Bacterial small subunit ribosomal RNA", at positions 509 to 809 of the family's 1533-position model. The record is from RNAcentral.